This 505-nucleotide ribosomal RNA is filed under the name uncultured bacterium. RNAcentral describes it as "partial 16S ribosomal RNA". It matches the Rfam family "Bacterial small subunit ribosomal RNA", at positions 28 to 507 of the family's 1533-position model. The record is from RNAcentral.
GACGAACGCUGGCGGCGUGCCUAAUACAUGCAAGUAGAACGCACAGUUUAUACCGUAGCUUGCUCCACCAUAAACUGUGAGUUGCGAACGGGUGAGUAACGCGUAGGUAACCUGCCUGGUAGCGGGGGAUAACUAUUGGAAACGAUAGCUAAUACCGCAUAAUAUUGAUUAUUGCAUGAUAAUUGAUUGAAAGAUGCUAUUGCAUCACUACCAGAUGGACCUGCGUUGUAUUAGCUAGUAGGUGAGGUAACGGCUCACCUAGGCGACGAUACAUAGCCGACCUGAGAGGGUGAUCGGCCACACUGGGACUGAGACACGGCCCAGACUCCUACGGGAGGCAGCAGUAGGGAAUCUUCGGCAAUGGACGAAAGUCUGACCGAGCAACGCCGCGUGAGUGAAGAAGGGUGUCGGAUCGUAAAGCUCUGUUGUAAGAGAAGAACGGGUGUGAGAGUGGAAAGUUCACACUGUGACGGUAUCUUACCAGAAAGGGACGGCUAACUACGUG